GAAAUGCGAUAAGUAAUGUGAAUUGCAGAAUUCAGUGAAUCAUCGAAUCUUUGAACGCACCUUGCGCUCCUUGGUAUUCCGAGGAGCAUGCCUGUUUGAGUGUCAUGAAAUUCUCAACCUUUCAAGCUUUUUAUUAAAAGCUAGUCAGGCUUGGAUUAUGGGAGCUUGCUGGCUUUGACAAGUCGGCUCUUCUAAAAUACAUUAGCAAGAUUUUUAAUCACUGAAUCAUCYUUGAUAUGAUAAUUAUCUAUAUUAAYGAUGACACAGUGUUUCUCGCUUCUAACUGUCUUUCAAAGACAAUUUAUUGAAACUAUUUGACCUCAAAUCAGGUAGGACUACCCGCUGAACUUAA
RNAcentral lists this ribosomal RNA (352 nucleotides) under Lepiota sp. 3-319. Its description in RNAcentral is "eukaryotic LSU rRNA". The stretch from base 1 to 105 matches the Rfam family "5.8S ribosomal RNA", at positions 50 to 154 of the family's 154-position model. The record is from RNAcentral. Lineage: Eukaryota; Fungi; Basidiomycota; Agaricomycetes; Agaricales; Agaricaceae.